This 552-nucleotide ribosomal RNA is filed under the name uncultured Acidobacteriota bacterium. Its description in RNAcentral is "bacterial SSU rRNA". It matches the Rfam family "Bacterial small subunit ribosomal RNA", at positions 355 to 897 of the family's 1533-position model. Lineage: Bacteria; Pseudomonadati; Acidobacteriota. The record is from RNAcentral.
UGGGGAAUUUUUGUCAAUGGGGGAAACCCUGAACAAGCAACGCCGCGUGAAGGACGAAGACCUUCGGGUUGUAAACUUCUGUCGGAGGGGACGAAAGCGGUCGAGGCUAAUAUCCUCGGCCGUUGACGGUACCCUACGAGGAAGCCCCGGCUAACUCCGUGCCAGCAGCCGCGGUAAUACGGGGGGGGCAAGCGUUGUUCGGAAUUACUGGGCGUAAAGGGCGCGUAGGCGGGCGGGCAAGUCUCUCGUGAAAGCCCACGGCUUAACCGUGGAACUGCGGGAGAUACUGCCUGUCUUGAGUCCGGGAGAGGAGGGUGGAAUUCCCAGUGUAGCGGUGAAAUGCGUAGAUAUUGGGAGGAACACCGGUGGCGAAGGCGGCUCUCUGGACCGGUACUGACGCUGAGGCGCGAAAGCUAGGGGAGCAAACGGGAUUAGAUACCCCGGUAGUCCUAGCCGUAAACGAUGAGCACUUGGUGUGGCGGGUAUCGACCCCCGCCGUGCCGAAGCUAACGCAUUAAGUGCUCCGCCUGGGGAGUACGGUCGCAAGGCUGA